UCUGAGGUUCCUGCUCUGGGGAUGAUUUCACCCCACUGAGAAAGAGGACUGCUCCUGGCCAAUGGACUGGAAGCAGCAGAGCUUCAUGCCCCUCUCCUCAAUCCCCUCUGGGCUCCUUGGACACUGGGAAGAUCCAUCAUCAGCUCCCACCGUCAGCCAGCUCCGGGCCUCAGUUUCCCCUCCUGGUGAAACUUAAAUCAAAGCCACAUGUUCUCCCAACACAGAAGCCCUCGUCACAUGGAGGCACGUCCUGGGCGAAGAGUAACGACUCUGUGGACGGGAUUCAUGGGGCCACAGGCCAGGCUGCCCGGCAACUGACCGCUGAGGGAGUCCUGGUAGCCCAGCUGGGGCAGGCGUGGAGGUUUCUAGGCCUAACCGUGGCUCAAUCUGGAUUAAGGGUGAGUUGAUGGUCCGUGUUAGGUGGGCAGGAGCCUCUUCCCUGAGCCCGGGGUCUUAUCCUAUACACCAUGGGGAGAUGAGAGCUGCCCAGACCCCUGGGGCCCCUCUGGGUCAGUCCAAGGAGAGGUGGCUGCUUACGUGUCUUGAAACGUGGAAGCAGUAUGGCCCCAGGGAAAGGGACCUGGAUUUGGAGUCCUGCUUAUGUCUGAUUCUUACUCGCUUGCUGUGUAACCUCAGGUGAGUUGUUCAACUUCUCUGAGCUUCAGAUUCCUUCUUGGUAGAAUGAAGCUUUUUCUAGAACCUCCAUCUUGGGGCUGGGAGAGAACGUGCAGGCAAACAGCCAGUGCAGGGCAGGUGGGGCGCUCACAGAAUUGGCUGUGCAGGUGCACGGAGGCCGCCGCCCCAGGGAAAGGGGUGGCUGAGAGCAGCGGGAAGAGCAGGCUGCCUUCCUGAGGAGCUAACUGGAGAGGACGCCCUGGAUGUCCCCAGCAGCUAUUCUCCAGGGCGCUGUCCAGGUCUGGCCUCUGUUUUCAGUCUUUCUCUUCAGGGCAUGGGAGGUCCCUGAACUUGGAAAGCAAGGGAUCACCUCCCACAGCCGCCAGCAGACAGGACGAGGUAAGUGCCCCGGGCUCCAGGCUCAGGUCCACUAAGGCCCCAACCGCUGUGGGUGUGCACAAUCAUACCCAUAGGUGCACGCAUGCAAGUGUGCAUGGAGACAUCCUGCAAAUCCACCGUCAGGCGUGUAUGCAAAGCCCAGGCCCCAGGGCACCUCACAGAUGUGCGGGACAUACAGAGGCGGGACGUGCGGGCACAGCACGUGUGCACACACCUGCACGCUCACGCGCACACACGCUUGCACAUUCCAGUGAAUGCCCACUGAGCAAGGGCUGCAAAAGCCUCUACAGCAUUUGCAUGUGGAGCUCCCCAGAGCCACCGCCCGGUCCCCACCCUUGAGCUUAUAGACUGGCAAGGAUGCCAGUGAUGCCAGUGGAAAUCAGGACAGCUCCUGAUACACUGUCAUGAGAACCCUCACACUGACCCCUGGAGUCAAGAGUCUCUAUACAGACGGGGAAGUGGGUUCCUAGGGGCGACACCCGCUGCUGAAGUCCCAGAGCCAGUCUCUUCCGAGCCUGCUGUCUGCCUGGCUGACGCACCUGGAGGAGCGGCUGUGCUGGGAGCCCCACUGGCAGCCCCCCAAAGUCAGCUGGCCUUUACCUCCUGCAGUCUGCUCUGGAGAGGACCCUCGUAAGAUGCCCGGGCCCCUUUCUAGGCCACAGCCAUCACCUGGGACUGAAGCCCUAGACCGUAUUUUCCCGAAACCUCGAGGCCCGGAUGCGACAGCAGCACAGAGAGCCCCAGGCUUGGCACCCCGGCUCCCACUGAUCUUUUUCCUUCAGUCACCCAGUCAGAUGUUGUCCUACCUAAUCCCUUGCCCUCCACCCAAAGGCUCCAGUAGGUGUGGAAUGAACGUUUGAGGAUGACGUGGGUGAUGGUGGGGCUGUGGGCCCACGUAGAAUCUCACCUGGAUCCCCACUGGCCCUCUCUGAGCCUUAGAUGCUGACCCUUGGUGAGCCACAGAGGGUCCCCAAGGGCCGCUCUAGCACCCUGGUGACCUGACUCCCAGGCUGGGGGGAGCCAUUGCUCUCCAGGGUGUCCUGAGAGUCCCUCAGUGUGGUCUCUGCACCCUGCACCCAGCCCCGCGGGCCCCAGCGCUAAGCUGCCUGGGCAUGGAGGGCAUCCGCCCACACUCACAGGGAAGGACUUCCCAGCCCUGGGUCCCGCUGUGGGCUAGCAGCAGGUGCUCAGCGUCCAUUUCUUAGAAUCCCUGCAAGGUGGGGGGUGAGCUCAUUUACGGGAAAAGGAGCUGGGGGGCUCUCUUCGCACCCAGCUCUGCAGGGGGCGGCAAGUGCGUCAGCAGCCUCAGCGCCCAGCCUGCCUCCGGAAACGCCGCCCAGGGUGCAGUCACGAACCCAGCAGAGCAGGGGGCCCGCCAGAGCGCCGAGGGAGGUCAGGUGACCCUCGAGGAAGCUGGGCUGGGGCCCGAGGCUGCACCAGAGUGCACAAUGAGGUCAACUUCCCCCUUCCCGGCCUGCUCCCCCACUCUGGCUCUCAGGUUGGCUGUCUCUCCAGCUGACUGUCCAGCCAUCUGCUGUCGCCAGGCCCAGCCUAGGCUCUGGGUCCCUGCAGGCUUCCCUGAGGCUGCGUUCCAUCAAUACCAGCUUCCAAGGGGCUCCUGUGCAAGGGUCCUAGGCUAUUUAAAGCCCGCCACGGCCGUGGGAAACUUCUUCAGAUGUGUGGUUUCGGCUUCUCCAGCAGGGACCCUGUCUGCCUGUUCUCGAGUCUGGUGACUCAUUCAGAGAAGAAAGUGGUGGAGCAACCUCGAACCCAGGCCGUGCGGUUCCAGAGCCUGUGCCUGGACCUCGGCACCGGCGACGACAAAGGUCUGGGCUCCGGAAGGCCUCAGUCCCCCAGUGAGCAGGCUCUGUGCAACCCCAGGUCCACAGAGAAGACCCAGGUUCUUAAAGAAGGUUGAUGACAGCAGGUCAGUAGAUCCGGGUGUCGGCGGAAGCUUCGGCUGUGGCCUGUCGCUGGGUGAGUCUUCCCGUCACCAGGUAGUGGCUGGCUGCAGAGAGGAAUAGCAUGUGAGACAUGCAGGCUGCGGCCCAGGGAGCCCUCUCCUUUUCGGGAGACAUUUGGCUUCUACCAACCCCGCGCUCUGCCACAUGGGUGGUUCUCCAAGACAGGGCCAACAGGUAGUCAGAAGGAGGCGGUGUGACCAGGGCAGGUUGCUCCUGCUCAAGCCUUUGCAACUCCAUUACCCCCAGGGAGGCCAGAGACGGAGAGUGACUUGACAAAGGUCACACAGCUACACUGUGGAGGGUGCGGUGGGGGGGCAUCCCUUGACGGGGGCUGAGCCUGGGGGCUUGGGCUGGGGUGGGGAGGCAGACGGAAGACUGUACAGCCGAACCCCCACUGCUAGCCCAUUUUCUCGCCGAAAGGCUCAGACACAGGAAGAGUCAUCUCUACCAAGCCGCAGCUGUAGGCCUCAAAGCACAAAGCCACAAAUUCUCAGAGCACUUGAGGUCCUGGCUGGCCCCAGAGCCCGGGUGUCUCCCACUGUACAGAGGGGAAGGCUGAGGCCUGGCAAGGGAGGGGCCUGGCCCAGAGCCCUCAAAGGAGGCCACACCAGAGCAGGGCCCGGAACCCAGCAUCCUGCCUCGGGGACCAGCACCACAGAAACGGGUGUAUCCAGGCCAGCGUCCAGCUCCAGUCCAUCUGUAACACCACAGGCCUGCCAGCCACAUUCUCCUGCUGCAGCCCACCUGUGCCUUCGGGUUCGGCUUUGGCAGCGAGGGGGGCCAAGGACACGACCCUCUGCUACCCAGGAGAGUCCUAGAGCGGGCCCGGCCAGGCCAGAGCUGAGCGCUGUGCCCUGGGAGGCUUUGGCAGGGUGCACAGCUGCUUCCAGAAGCUCUGAGCCUGAGGAGGAGCUGCGUGCAGCUUGCUCUCAGCCCUUUGCAGUUGGUAGAGCAAAGGAGGACAAGUGAGAAGCCAGAGGCCCCCGUGUGACUAAGAAAAGACAAAAACCAUAAAAUGCAUUUGUCUUCUUUUUAUUUAUUUAUUGAUUUCCCUUUUGGUGCUGGGCUCAGGAGGCUGAGUCCUGCAGGGGCAGAAACCUCCCUGGAAUUCCAAACAGAAGUCAGGGAGGUGCUGAGACUGUGGAGGCUGCAGACCACAGAGGACAAGGCACCUGUCCAGGCUCACACGGCGAGUUUGGGCCGCGCCAGCCUGCCGUCCCCAGCCAGCACUUAGCUGUGAUUGCGCCUGGCUUGCCCGGGGCCCCAGGACCAUUCGUACAGGCAGGUCUGGGAGACUGUCCGUGCCUCUGGAGCUCAAGGCCGGUGAGGGGAAUCCCGAGGCCAGACAGCACGGGAACCACGUGCCCCCUCCUCACCCGCUUCCUAGCCCUGCCUUUUGCAAAUGACAGAAUGUCUGCCCAGGGGCCCCAGGCGGGUUCUAGACCAGCUCAGACAAAAAAUUUCCCCUGUGGUUUGGAAUGGAGCUUGGCCAUCAUUUCCUGGGCCCUGUGAGGGGUGUGGGCCGGCCGGGAGGCCGGGAAGGGGCUGCACCUGCCACGGGGGAAGGGGAGGGCCUGGCAUGAGCGGCUGCUUGCUGAGAGCCCCCAGCCUGGCCAGGACACAGGCUGGCUGUGCGACUUCCGCCAGUUCCUCUGGAGGGCCCAGCCCAUCCAGGCUGUGGUUUUAAAUACUUUGCCCUCCCGAAGGACCGGAGGGACACCUGUGAGGCUGACACAGGUGUAUUAGGGGAGAGGCAGGGCUUUAACUCACUUAGAUCUAAGGUUAAAUUCUAGCUCCAUCACUUACUUGCUGUGCAGCCUUGGGCAAGUGACUUUAUCUCUCUGAGCCUCCACCUCGUGUCAAGGAUACUAACGAUCACAUGAUCUGAGGACUUUUAUUCUGCCACACAUGUUUCCAGAUGAUCCCUCCCUGACACGGCUCAUCUACCCUCUGGGGUGGGGGCGCUUGUGAUGACGCCUUGUGGGAGAGGGGUGAAAGAGGUCUGAGUGAUCCCCAGCUGUUGGACUCCAGAUCCUGUGGUCUUCAGAAGCUGCCUAAAGGAGCAACACCUGGGAAGAGUAAAUGAGCUCAUCUGAGACAAGCUCACGGUGCUCAGCACGUUGUAUUGUUUUGUUGUUGUUGCUAUUAUUCAUUGCUCCUGUUUCUGCGUGGCUCCCCCAGCGCCUCCGCGAGAGCCCCCACCAAGCCCCUCUGUCCGCCAGCCGCCACGGCUGGACCCUCGCUGCAGACCUGAGGCAGAGGCCACGUCCCAGGGCCACAUGCGGCUCUCGGGACACAGUCCCCGGCUGUCCUCUGGCUCCUCUCCCGGGGCCAGCUGCCUCUUGCCAGUGGGAAGCUGGGGCACUGGGGCCUUGGGAGCAGACUCCUAGUUUAACCCACGCCCUGAGGCGGGCUCUUUCCUGGGGGAAAUCCUUGGUCACUGCCCAGACACCCUCUGCAACGCCUCCCUCCAGGCCAGGCGGCAGAUCAGCCGUAUUCCAAGGUGCCCUGGAAGCUCCCCAGGAGGGGAGCACCCCACAGGGAGCCCAAGGCAGGGUGGCAGGGGUGACAAGGUGAGGAGGCCACCACCAAGGUAGAUUUGUCCCUCACCUCUCUGGGGUUUGAAAGGUGAGCAGAGAAAUGAAAGGAGUGCCCCCAAGCGUUGUCUGUGCCCACCCCUCAGCUGGCUGGGUUGGCCCUAGACAUCUGCUCGUGCAGCAGGCAUUUACAAGGCACCUGCCAGAGGCCAGGUGUGCCGGGCACCUGCAAGCACCUGCGUGCCACCAUCUAGCCCACCCCACCUCUGACCUCUGCCGGGGCCUCUGAGCCCCUAACUCUCCUCACUUGCCAUCGUCCCCCAGGGCGGUGAAGCUGACUUUGGUUCUUCAGGUGAAAAUCACACCCACAUCAGCCACCCACAGGAAGGAAGAGUCGGUGUCUGCGUCUUCUGGAAGCUGUUCCGGCUGCACAGGUGUGACUUCAAAUACUGGCUGUCGGUAGGUGUCUCCUAUGCCCUGUGUCCUGCUCAGCUCCAGGAAGAAAUGCCCUCGGCACAGGGCUCCAAGACCCACCGCACCCGUGACUCUACCAGCACAGCACACAGACUGUGCCUGACUCCACGCGUUCACCCUUUUCAUUCGCAAGCCCCCUUCUGCUCCAGGUGCUGUACAGACAGGAAAGGCAAAACUCGGAGCUGUCAAACGGCACCCUGUGGCCACAUAGCCGGAACCCUAGAUCUUCCCCGCUCCGAAGCUCAGUCCUGAACCUCUGGGCCACAGCCCAUUUUCCCAGCAUUCCUUCUCCUGACCCAUCGUGCCUGGGGGCUCUUCCAGGGGGCAGGACCUGGGUGUGAGGAGCAGGGGCUGCCUGGCCUCUCUCCACCCCCAUGGGUGCUCAGGAGAUGCCUAUGAACCAGCAAUCCCGUUGUCAUCAAAACAAAACUGCGGGUGCACGUGCUCCAAAAGAAGGUGUCAAUGAAACGACACGCGGAAGAUUGACGCUCUGGUGGAGAAGACGUGGAACGGAUUGUUUCUUUUUUCCCCUGUGCUUAUCUGUGUUUUCAGACUUGGAUACCAGAGGGUCUGGGCAGGCUUGGUCUACCCUGGUGGAACUGGUCAUUCCUGUCAAGAAGCAACAGGGAGAAGGACGGCAGCCUCAGCUUCGAGGACAAGUGGUCAAGAGUGAGGAUCUCGAGGGGACAAACAGGCCUAGGCGAUCCAGCUCCGCUGCUCCCCUAGAGUAUUUCCUGGGGGCCUCAGCAGCCUCAUCUGCAGAGUGGGGCUCUGCAGGGCCCUUGUGGGGACCGAAUGACACCUGUGUACAGAAUGACCCAGCAGUCCCUGGCACAACACAGUAGUACCCAGGCAGCACCAGCUUUGGGUCACUCCAGGAUGGCAAGUUGGCUGGCAGGAUGGGGACCCAAGCCCCUGGCUGUAAGGUCAGAAGUCGCAGUUCAAGUGUGGGGACAGGGACAGUCUCUGUGCUGCCCCUGCCACACCCAGCUGCUGCUUCCAGGCUCGCUGUCCCACCUCGAAACCACAGGGACCACAGCUGGACCACAGACAGGCCUCCCUGCGGGGUUUUAGCACCUUCCUGGCACGGGGGCCUGGCCCCCUCUGCCCACCCCCCAGCCCCGCCCCGGCGGGCUCAGGCCCCCGGGAAACUGGAGGACCAGCAGAGUUCUCCUUCUCGCUCUCCGUCUGAGUCAGCCCACCACACCUUGGAGGUGACUCAGAGGAGGCAAAGCCCCGAGCCACACCCUGCUGAUGGAGGGCCAGGAGCUUCACCCCAGGCCCGGGCUCUCAGGGUCUGCCCUGCCCCACCCCAGGAAGAGGAGACUGCAGACCAGAGGGAUGCGAAGGACAGAAAAGAGCAGGAUAGAGCCUCAAGCGGCCGACCAGGACCCUAGGGAAAUCCCAGAGUCCCGGAGAAACUUUGCCUGGUUCCAAAGCCAGACAAAGCCGGGACCUCACCGUGAUCUGGUGGGGACUCGGGGAGAUGGGGUGCCCCAUCCUUCCCAUUGCUCAGUUGCUUGUUUGUCCAGCAAAUACGUGGGAAGCGCGUGCCUGCACCAGGCGCUGGGCCGGCUGGGAGGCUGGAGAUGAGUCAGGUCUGCUCCCUGGGGGGCUCGCAGUCUGCCGGAGGAGACAGACACAGAGACAAAUAAUUAAAGGCAUGAAUGAAAGCCUUUGAGAUGAAGACACAUGGGAUUGCUAAACGCGGAGAGACCACUGAGACAAUAAAUUCAGCUGUGUGGGGCCUUGAACUAGAGGGGCACGCAGGGCUCUCCAUGGAGCACAGGCCGGGCGGGUGGAGCUGAGGAUGCGGGAGACCCCACUCCUCACCACUCACCUGGGAAUGUUACUUCCUCCUAAAUAUGAGAUAAAAGUUUGGGACUGGAGGGUUCAAACAGCUCCACAGCUAGGCCUCGACCUGCAGCCCGCUUUCUUCACGACCUUAAGCAAUCCCUCCUCUGAGCUUCACUUGCUCACUGGCUACUCAGGGGUCCAGCCUUGAAGAUGAUCACAGGAGCGAAUCCUUGCUGGAUGUUCACCAUGCGCCUGGCAUCCCGCCAAGCACUUUGCAUACCUUAGCUCCUUGCUCCACCUCUACAUCCGCCCCGUGAGGUAAGACCUAUUAAUAGGAGAAGCCUCUCAUCCAAUGAGCAAAACCACUGGUUGUUAAUAGAA
This is a long non-coding RNA of Chinchilla lanigera (long-tailed chinchilla), 8167 nucleotides long. RefSeq lists it as uncharacterized. Lineage: Eukaryota; Metazoa; Chordata; Mammalia; Rodentia; Chinchillidae. The record is from RefSeq and is a predicted model, not a curated record. The transcript is spliced from 5 exons.